AAUGGUGAAGGAACAACAAUAUAUUUCCAAGUCAGGGUGGUGAGCGGCUUGGAGGGGCAACUUGGAAGGUGGUGGUGUUCCCUAUACUGUAUGUCGCUGUUAAGUGAAUCAGGUCUCACUGUGGUCCAGGAGUGUGGUGAUGACAAUUGUCUACAUACAAGAACUUUUGUUGAUUUACGGAGGGCUUUGUUGUCAAAUACUCGAAGGGGCUGCGGAGGUCUGUAAAAUUCUGCCUGGACUGCUGACUUUCCAGGGUCUGCAGUAUUGCGCAUUCUGCAUAAAAUGUGCUCAGUUCAUGGGUGAACGUACAAGUUGAAUGCCAGUAAGCUGCUGGCUCCAAUGGGAGCAGGAAUCUUGGAAAUCUCAGCCGGCCAUAAAGCCAUUACCACACUGGCUAUAUAGGCACUACUUCUGAGAAUUCAGAAACCAUAAGAUGGGUAAUCCACCAAGCAAAUGUGCUGAAGAAACUGGCUGCAUUGAAUCAGUUACAGGAGCCUGGUUAAUCAUUACCUGGAAUACUCUGGUUUUAGUCAUCUUACCUUGGGAAAUAUUGUCAUCAAGGGGAUGCCACCAAGGUUCACCAGACUUUCACCUAGGAUGGUGCUACUGCCCUGUGAAGAGUUUGGGCAGACCAGACCUGUAUCCACUAAGUUUAAGAAUGAGGUGAUGUCAUUGAAGCCUACAAAACAGCUAAAAGGAUAGAUGCAGGUUAGAAACAAGAUGUUUCCCUGGUUGGAGAGCUCAGGUUCAGGGAGUACAUCAAUCUUCAAGUGCUGAAGAAUCUACACUAUUGAUCUAUUAUGAACAAAUGAAUAGUUAGUGCUAGGGUCUACUGAACUUUAAAGAAGUCUUGGGUAAAGAUCCCUUGAAGGUUGUAAUCUUUUACUCCUAGUGAGCAUGAAUAUGCUGGUGGAUGAAUAUGCUGCUUGGUGCAAGAGAAAUGGUUUUAAUGAUCACAUUGUUGGGAUCCCUUCUAGGGAAAUGGGACAACUUGUUCAAGUGCAGACCAUCUUAGAAUUUGUAAAUAUGUCCCUGUGGGAGGGUUAAUUAAUGCUGCAGAAGGUAAAGUAGUCUAGGGCAGGAGACAGUUAAUUCAUUGGUGACACAGCAUAACUUGGGAAAAGGAGCCAAGGCACAGUUCUGCCUUGUCUCGAGAGUAAGGCAAGGAUGAUGACCUCUAAUGGUAGGAAUGUUAGAGGGGGAAAACCUGAGUUGGAGAUGUGGUUUAAACAUUCUCCUGGUGUCUGCUAGUUUCCGUGGAUGCUCCAGUUUCCUUCCACAGACCAAAGAUGUACAGUUAGGUGGAUUGGUUGCUAAUUUUUUCAUGCUGCCCCGGUGGAUUAGUUGUGGAAAAUGCAGGACUACAGGGAGUUAAGUUAGGGUGUGGGUGGGAUACUCCAAAAGAUUGUGGACUUGAUGGGUUGAAUGGCCUGCUUUCUCACUAGAUAUUCCCAUUCUAAUCCCUGAACAUCCUGAUGGGGGAUGGAUAUGUCCAUGGCAGAGGUAGCGGUUGGAGCCUGCAAACAGGAAAUCCUUAAACCCCAUGUAAACAGGAGAAGACAGAAGGGACUGCUGAAGGGAGGCAGAGAAGAGCUGAGGCAGGAGUGGUCUGACCCGGUUUGAGGGAUUGUGCACAGGCAGAUCACCAGAUGAAAUGAGACUAGUCACCAUAAUGGACACACUGGCCUAAUGUUUCAUGGUCUGGGAGAAACGGGUAUCUGAGAGGUGGCACACAGCCUCUAUGAUGUAGAGGUCAGUAUGAUAGACAACAGCACCAUGCUUUGUCAACAGGCCUGACUACAAAGUUGGAUCUAAGCAUGGAGUGCAGCGCAUUCUGAAAGGGGCUAGAAUAGGUGAGGUGACCACAAGUAUGAAAAGGCAUGGGCAAGGUGGUUGAAAAGUAGCUGUUCCCUUCAAUUGUCAAUAACAAGGGGUACCUUUUAGAAGUGAAAGGGGAUUUGAGGAAAAUGUGUUGCUCCCAGACCAUGGUGGGAAUAUGGAAUGCACUGAGUUGAGAUGGGUAACAGCAAACAUUUUAAUUGUUUGGAUGAGCACUUUGUUUCCAUUCAACGCUAUGAGCCUGAUGUGGGGCUAGUGUAGGUGCAAGUGAAUGUAUAUAGAUUUGAUGGGCUGAGCUGUUGCUUGUGCUGUGAUUCUGUGGUAUGGAACAAAAAGGUAAAUUGUGUGAAUACAGAAUGACUGAUCUAACAGUCACCAGGAUUGAGAAACUCAAUGCCUGCCUUUUGUAAAUGUGGUUUACCUCUACCUCUACUCCCUUGAUGCACUGUUUCUUCAAUGAAGUUGUUUCCCAUGCUUUUUGUCACCACUUCUCAGAUACCCUCCUUACUGACCUCAAUAUUUCACCUUCCAGUUUGGAUAAACUGGAUACCUUUGUCUUGUCCCACUUCCUCAUGGCAUAUUUGCUGCUUGGCUAGGUGUUCUCAGUAUUUAUUCUUUGCAGUUUCUUGGUUUCCCUCUUUGAUUCAUUUCACAUUUCAAGGCUUAUUGUAACAAUGGUACAACUGGAGCAGUAUUCAGGGCCACAAUCAAUGCUCCUGGCUUUUGCAUUCAAAUGAAUUAAGCUUAAAUGCUUGACAGGUAUUUGGUGAAGAAACAGGUUGUGAUGCACUAAAAUAAAAUGUUUUCAUGCUUGGGUUUAAUGUGUAUAUAUAAAAUGUAGUGUACUGAUAACAUGAGAAUAAAGUAUUUGAAAGUGAA
Rhincodon typus (whale shark) is the source of this 2718-nucleotide long non-coding RNA. RefSeq lists it as uncharacterized. NCBI's taxonomy places the organism in Eukaryota, Metazoa, Chordata, Chondrichthyes, Orectolobiformes, Rhincodontidae. The record is from RefSeq and is a predicted model, not a curated record. The transcript has 3 exons.